RNAcentral lists this transfer RNA (75 nucleotides) under Candidatus Moraniibacteriota bacterium. RNAcentral describes it as "tRNA-Asn". It matches the Rfam family "tRNA". Rfam says of the family: Transfer RNA (tRNA) molecules are approximately 80 nucleotides in length. Their secondary structure includes four short double-helical elements and three loops (D, anti-codon, and T loops). Lineage: Bacteria; Candidatus Moraniibacteriota. The record is from RNAcentral.
UCCGACGUAGCUCAGCGGUAGAGCAGGUGGCUGUUAACCACUUGGUCACAGGUUCGAAUCCUGUCGUCGGAGCCA